RNAcentral lists this ribosomal RNA (253 nucleotides) under uncultured bacterium. RNAcentral's name for it is "partial 16S ribosomal RNA". It matches the Rfam family "Bacterial small subunit ribosomal RNA", at positions 524 to 776 of the family's 1533-position model. The record is from RNAcentral.
UACGUAGGUGGCGAGCGUUAUCCGGAUUUACUGGGUGUAAAGGGCGUGCAGGCGGGCUGAUAAGUCAGAUGUGAAAUCCCCGAGCUUAACUCGGGAACUGCAUCUGAUACUGUUGGUCUUGAGUGCUGGAGAGGAUAGUGGAAUUCCUAGUGUAGCGGUAAAAUGCGCAGAUAUUAGGAGGAACACCAGUGGCGAAGGCGGCUAUCUGGACAGUAACUGACGCUGAGGCGCGAAAGCGUGGGUAGCAAACAGG